This 483-nucleotide ribosomal RNA is filed under the name uncultured bacterium. RNAcentral's name for it is "partial 16S ribosomal RNA". It matches the Rfam family "Bacterial small subunit ribosomal RNA", at positions 28 to 507 of the family's 1533-position model. The record is from RNAcentral.
AUUGAACGCUGGCGGCAUGCUUUACACAUGCAAGUCGAACGGCAGCGCGGGCUUCGGCCUGGCGGCGAGUGGCGAACGGGUGAGUAAUGCAUCGGAACGUGCCCAGUAGUGGGGGAUAGCCCGGCGAAAGCCGGAUAAUUACCCCAUCGACCCUGGGGUGGAAGCGGGGGGACGGAAGGGCCCGCCGUAUUGGAACGGCCGAUGUCGGAUUAGCUAGUUGGUGGGGUAAAGGCUUACCAAGGCGACGAUCCGUAGCUGGUCUGAGAGGACGACUAGCCACACUGGGACUGAGACACGGCCCAGACUCCUACGGGAGGCAGCAGUGGGGAAUUUUGGACAAUGGGGGCAACCCUGAUCCAGCCAUGCCGCGUGCGGGAAGAAGGCCUUCGGGUUGUAAACCGCUUUUGUUCGGGAAGAAAUCCUCUGGGCUAAUACCCCGGGGGGAUGACGGUACCGGAAGAAUAAGCACCGGCUAACUACGUG